GUGUGGUCUUUCUGUUCAGCCUUUGUCUGGUCAUUGUUUGAGUUACCCCCUGACAUCUUGUUUCCUCUGGAGUUUGGAUUUCUGUUGGGAUUAUCUUGUCUUUUUGGACUCUGCUACCAGCCACUUUGUCAGAGCACAUGUGCUAGUCUGGCACCUCCCCAGAGACCACUUUCCCAUGGGAGACCCUACCAGGAGCACCAGGAUCCAGACAACACUGCUUCAUAGGGACUCACAAACCUCUCCAACAUGAUAUGGUGAUAGUCCCCAGAGAGGAGGGGUGUUAAUCCCUUUCUUUUUAAUUACGUCUUUGACCAGUGAUGGAACAGUGGAUAAGACUGUUGGUUCCGAUCAUAUCUCACUGAUAGAGAAUUCUUUGUGUAUUGAUGAAUCUCGAUCAGAAGACAUAAAAUGAAUUGUGGUGUCUCAAAGGGCUCAAUCUGAGGCCUAACCCUUCUUAAUUUGUACAUGCUGCCGCUUGGAGACGUCGUCAGGAGCCACGGCAUCAAUUUUCAGUUAUGCUGAUGACACCCAGCUAAACAUUGCCGUGUCCCCUGAUGACCCAGGACCAGUAGACGCUCUUUUUUUUUUUUUUCUUUUU
Long non-coding RNA from Micropterus salmoides (largemouth bass), 598 nucleotides. RefSeq lists it as uncharacterized. The transcript has 2 exons. The record is from RefSeq and is a predicted model, not a curated record. NCBI's taxonomy places the organism in Eukaryota, Metazoa, Chordata, Actinopteri, Centrarchiformes, Centrarchidae.